GUCAAUUGGUUGUUAUAUCUCCACUAAUAAGCGGAGAGGGGUAAAACUCUCAAAGUGAGUUAUGUGGGUCAAGGUAUGAUGAUUAAUUGGAGUUCUAGUUCAUUUACUUUGAGAAAAUUAGAGUGUUUAAAGCAGCCUCUUGGGGCACUGAAUACAUUAGCAUGGGAUAAUAAAAUAGGAUCUUCACAAUAUAUUUUAUUGGUUUAAAUUGGAUAUGAAGAUAAUGAUUAAUAGGGACAGUUGGGGGUAGUUCAUAUUGGGUGGUUAGCGGUGAAAUGCUCGGAUCCAUUCAAGAUGAACUAAAAGCGAAGGCAUUUUACCAAGGAUGUUUUCAUUAAUCAAGAACGAAAAGUUAAGGGGAUCGAAGACGAUUAGAUACCGUCGUAGUCUUAACUAUAAACUAUGCCGACCAGGGAUAUGAGUUGUUAGGAUUAUACGAAAGUAUAAUCAAUUCUUCUUAUUGGACCUUGUG
Molecule: ribosomal RNA, 472 nt
Filed under: uncultured eukaryote
Lineage: Eukaryota
Description: bacterial SSU rRNA
Rfam family: Eukaryotic small subunit ribosomal RNA
Source: RNAcentral